This 447-nucleotide ribosomal RNA is filed under the name uncultured bacterium. RNAcentral describes it as "bacterial SSU rRNA". It matches the Rfam family "Bacterial small subunit ribosomal RNA", at positions 29 to 518 of the family's 1533-position model. The record is from RNAcentral.
AGCGAACGCUGGCGGCAGGCUUAACACAUGCAAGUCGAGCGGGCAUAGCAAUAUGUCAGCGGCAGACGGGUGAGUAACGCGUGGGAACGUACCUUUUGGUUCGGAACAACACAGGGAAACUUGUGCUAAUACCGGAUAAGCCCUUACGGGGAAAGAUUUAUCGCCGAAAGAUCGGCCCGCGUCUGAUUAGCUAGUUGGUGAGGUAAUGGCUCACCAAGGCGACGAUCAGUAGCUGGUCUGAGAGGAUGAUCAGCCACAUUGGGACUGAGACACGGGCCCAAACUCCUACGGGAGGCAGCAGUGGGGAAUAUUGGACAAUGGGCGCAAGCCUGAUCCAGCCAUGCCGCGUGAGUGAUGAAGGCCCUAGGGUUGUAAAGCUCUUUUGUGCGGGAAGAUAAUGACGGUACCGCAAGAAUAAGCCCCGGCUAACUUCGUGCCAGCAGCCGC